UGGGCAAGCCUGGUGUCAGCCGCCGCGGUAAUACCAGCACCCCGAGUGGUCGGGACGAUCAUUGGGCCUAAAGCAUCCGUAGCCGGUUCUACAAGUCUUCCGUUAAAUCCACCUGCUUAACAGUUGGGCUGCAGAGGAUACUAUAGAGCUAGGGGGCGGGAGAGGCAAGCGGUACUUAGUGGGUAGGGGUAAAAUCCGUUGAUCCACUGAAGACCACCAGUGGCGAAGGCGGCUUGCCAGAACGCGCUCGACGGUGAGGGAUGAAAGCUGGGGGAGCAAACCGGAUUAGAUACCCGGGUAGUCCCAGCUGUAAACGAUGCAGACUCGGUGAUGAAUAGGCUUCGUGCCUAUUCAGUGCCGCAGGGAAGCCGUUAAGUCUGCCGCCUGGGGAGUACGGUCGCGAGACUGAAACUUAAAGGAAUUGGCGGGGGAGCACCACAAGGGGUGAAGCCUGCGGUUCAAUUGGAGUCAACGCCGGGAAUCUUACCGGGGGCGACAGCAGAAUGAAGGUCAAGCUGAAGACUUUACCAGACAAGCUGAGAGGAGGUGCAUGGCCGUCGCCAGCUCGUGCCGUGAGGUGUCCUGUUAAGUCAGGUAACGAGCGAGAUCCCUGCCUCUAGUUGCUACCAUUGCUCUCAGGAGUAAUGGGGCUGAUUAGAGGGACUGCCGUCGCUGAGACGGAGGAAGGAGGGGGCUACGGCAGGUCAGUAUGCCCCGAAACCCUCGGGCCACACGCGGGCUGCAAUGGUAAGGACAAUAAGCUCCUAGUCCGAAAGGAGGAGGUAAUCUCCAAAC
RNAcentral lists this ribosomal RNA (795 nucleotides) under uncultured crenarchaeote. RNAcentral describes it as "bacterial SSU rRNA". It matches the Rfam family "Archaeal small subunit ribosomal RNA", at positions 443 to 1237 of the family's 1478-position model. Lineage: Archaea; Thermoproteati; Thermoproteota. The record is from RNAcentral.